GGUCAUGAGCGCCAGCGUCAAGCCCCGGCUUGCUGGCCGGCAACCCUCCAACCGCGGUGGGGUGCCCCGGGUGAUGACCAGGUCUAGUAGCCAGUAGCCGGCUGCACGGCAAGCGCGGGUC
This is a non-coding RNA of Mycobacterium saskatchewanense, 121 nucleotides long. NCBI's taxonomy places the organism in Bacteria, Bacillati, Actinomycetota, Actinomycetes, Mycobacteriales, Mycobacteriaceae. The record is from Rfam.